GGGCCCAUAAUCUAGCGGUAAAAUACCAUCUCGGCAUGAUGGAGUCGUGGGUUCAACUCCCACUGGGUCCACAA
Molecule: transfer RNA, 74 nt
Filed under: Candidatus Nealsonbacteria bacterium CG_4_8_14_3_um_filter_34_13
Lineage: Bacteria; Candidatus Nealsoniibacteriota
Also listed under: 1 other name
Description: tRNA-Ala
Rfam family: tRNA
About the family: Transfer RNA (tRNA) molecules are approximately 80 nucleotides in length. Their secondary structure includes four short double-helical elements and three loops (D, anti-codon, and T loops). Further hydrogen bonds mediate the characteristic L-shaped molecular structure. tRNAs have two regions of fundamental functional importance: the anti-codon, which is responsible for specific mRNA codon recognition, and the 3' end, to which the tRNAs corresponding amino acid is attached (by aminoacyl-tRNA synthetases). tRNAs cope with the degeneracy of the genetic code in two manners: having more than one tRNA (with a specific anti-codon) for a particular amino acid; and 'wobble' base-pairing, i.e. permitting non-standard base-pairing at the 3rd anti-codon position.
Source: RNAcentral